UACGGAGGGGGCUAGCGUUGUUCGGAAUCAUUGGGCGUAAAGGGCGCGUAGGCGGCCGAUCAAGUCGGAGGUGAAAUCCCUCGGCUCAACUGAGGAAUUGCCUUCGAUACUGUUCGGCUUGAGUCCUGGAGAGGGUAGUGGAAUUCCCGGUGUAGUGGUGAAAUGCGUGGAUAUCGGGAGGAACACCAGUGGCGAAGGCGACUACCUGGCCUGUUUCUUGACGCUGAGGCGCGAAAGCUAGGGGAGCAAACGGG
Molecule: ribosomal RNA, 254 nt
Filed under: uncultured bacterium
Lineage: Bacteria
Description: partial 16S ribosomal RNA
Rfam family: Bacterial small subunit ribosomal RNA
Source: RNAcentral